Myotis lucifugus (little brown bat) is the source of this 1562-nucleotide long non-coding RNA. RefSeq lists it as uncharacterized. Lineage: Eukaryota; Metazoa; Chordata; Mammalia; Chiroptera; Vespertilionidae. The record is from RefSeq and is a predicted model, not a curated record. The transcript is spliced from 2 exons.
UUCGUGGAACUACUCUAAGGGGAGGGGAGCCGCGAAAGGGAACGGGGGGAGGGGGGCAUGAGGAUGAAAAGAGCGAAGAAGAGUUGAGAGCUGGCGGCGGCUCCCGGGGAGAACUGCUCCGAGAGACAUUACUGUGGGAAAGCUAGGCUCCUCUAGCCCCGUGUGUGCCGACAAAUAGACCUUCCAGCAAAACUGUUGGCGGCGACCUGAGCGCUGGGAGCCGAAGGAAGGAAGAAAGAGACGCCAGCCGGGCGGCCGAGCGGGGCGGCCGGCACAAAGGAGGCGGACUCGCGGCCGCAGCUGCCCGCGCCGGGGAGGCACGGCCCGCGGCCCUGCUGGACCGAAGUCCCGCACCGGCAGCUAGGAAUAAAGUUUACGUUCUCCUGAGACCGCACCCCCCCUCCUCCCACCCAGGACCGCGCAUCUCCGCGUCCUGCUCCCCCAAACUCCACUCGGGACCCCGAGCACCACCCCAGCCUCGCAGCCAGCACAACAAAGAGACACACCGACCGGCGAGCGUAAACAGCCGCGGCAGGGCGAGCAGGGCGGGCAGGGCGAGCGCCUCGAGGUAGCGACUCCGGAGUCUCCCCGGCUCGCCGGAGCGUAGUUUCUCCUUUUCUGUUUCAACCAGCCUUACAACACUGGGAAUUUUCAUUUUCACCCGCGCCCCUCUUACCCGAGGAUUUUUAACUCACCUUUACUUUCGAACUGAGUUGCGGUGGAUGGGAUUUUUGUCUUCCCCGGAUGGUUGAAGGUUACGAUUUUUGUUUUUUUGGAAAGCCCAACACCUCCUUAUUCCUGUGAUUAUUUUUUCAAGAAAAGUAGAGAGUUGGAGUGGAGGUGAGACUGGUGAUCGGGAAAGCCCUGGACUCCCUCCUUCUCCGUCUUCCGCCUCGCUCUCUCUGAUUAGUUCCUAUCCAGCAGCAGAUUGAAGCAGGAGAUGAUUCUUCUCAAGGUUUGUUCAGCAGCUUCACUUCUAGGCGAAGGCUUCAUGAACCAAGUGACGUCAACCAACAAGGCUUCUCUCUCUCUCCUCUCUCUAACAAUGAAAGUUGCUGUUAACAAGGGAAAAAAGAGAGAGAAUUGUUUAUACCAUUUCACUUCCAAUAAUAAAUGACCUAUCAGCUCCUAAAGGAGCCAAGGGAGGGAGGGGGUUGCUUCUUCUUCUCAAGGAUACUGUAGCUUUAAGUUUGCACCGUUCCUGGUCCCAGGAAAAAGUUAGGAAACUUCAUGUUUUGUUUUGCUUUGCUUUUAAAAGCAGAGAGGACAGAAAAUGAGAUCGAAAACGGAAUUUUUCAAAAACGUAAACUGGAGAAUAGGGAACAUAGAUUAACCAUUUCCACCUAAACUUUUUUGUCCGUAAACUCAGAAUUCGGUUGAAGUCCACAAGCCAACUAAAUUAAUAUGCCAAGAAUUCGUGGGUGUUUGGAAAUCAAAAUAAAAUAAAAAGAAGGACGCAAGAUUGUCCCGGGAUUAAACGCUACUGCCCUAACACGGGCAAGUUAAACUGUAAUGUUUAUGCAUGGAGUUAAAAUUUAAAUAAAACAUUUUAAAAUAGUAAA